RNAcentral lists this ribosomal RNA (468 nucleotides) under uncultured bacterium. Its description in RNAcentral is "partial 16S ribosomal RNA". It matches the Rfam family "Bacterial small subunit ribosomal RNA", at positions 28 to 507 of the family's 1533-position model. The record is from RNAcentral.
GACGAACGCUGGCGGCGUGCUUAACACAUGCAAGUCGAACGGAAAGGCCCUGCUUUUGUGGGGUGCUCGAGUGGCGAACGGGUGAGUAACACGUGAGUAACCUGCCCUUGACUUUGGGAUAACUUCAGGAAACUGGGGCUAAUACCGGAUAGGAGCUCCUGCUGCAUGGUGGGGGUUGGAAAGUUUCGGCGGUUGGGGAUGGACGCGCGGCUUAUCAGCCUGUUGGUGGGGUAGUGGCUUACCAAGGCUUUGACGGGUAGCCGGCCUGAGAGGGUGACCGGCCACAUUGGGACUGAGAUACGGCCCAGACUCCUACGGGAGGCAGCAGUGGGGAAUAUUGCACAAUGGGCGGAAGCCUGAUGCAGCAACGCCGCGUGCGGGAUGACGGCCUUCGGGUUGUAAACCGCUUUCGCCUGUGACGAAGCGUGAGUGACGGUAAUGGGUAAAGAAGCACCGGCUAACUACGUG